AUUUGUCGAACUAAAUUCUAUUUGAUAUGAUAUACGUUUCUUUGAUGAUUCUACGGAUAUCUAUUAUGCCUUGAUAUAGGACUUGUCAGUAACUCCAUGCUAACGGAGAGUAGUUAUCCUAUGUGCACAUAGUAUUCUGUAUACCUAGCUGGUGAGAGAGGCAUCAGCCUAUGGCGACUGAUCAUCCCACAGUGGUCACCUUCGGGUGUCAUCUGGUCACUUUCGAGUGUCAUCUGGUCACCUUCGGGUGUCAUCUGAUCUUUGACAUGU
RNAcentral lists this long non-coding RNA (270 nucleotides) under Populus trichocarpa (black cottonwood). RNAcentral's name for it is "long non-coding RNA (PTRI_LNC004760)". The record is from RNAcentral. Lineage: Eukaryota; Viridiplantae; Streptophyta; Magnoliopsida; Malpighiales; Salicaceae.